This 545-nucleotide long non-coding RNA is filed under the name Olea europaea subsp. europaea. Lineage: Eukaryota; Viridiplantae; Streptophyta; Magnoliopsida; Lamiales; Oleaceae. The record is from RNAcentral.
AGUUGUAAAUUUUGCCUAUGAGUAAAAUACAACUAGCCCUACUUUUUAAGUUUACAUUUCAUUAAUCAGUUUUUAAUUUUAAUCUUUCUUAAAUCAGGUUAUAUUAAAUUAUUUAACAUCAAAUUUCAAAUACAAUAUUAACAAUCGAUUACUAAUUAAUUAUUGUCUUUUACGUGAAUAGUGGGAGAGAGAAAACUUAUCAAAAUUUAUUCUUCUUUCUUCCACAUCCAGCAAGAAAGAAGUCAAAAUCCAUUCUUCAAUUCAAGAUUCCACAAUAGUCAAGAUAUUAGAUAUUUGAAGCCUCCAUCGUUUGUAUUAUUAUUAAUUAUAUUUUCCCUAAUUCAUUUUCUCAAAUACCCUAUUUUAUAGUUCAAGAUUUUAUUGAACACUAACUCAUUACAAACCCAAAUCGAGAGUGGUAUUAACAAAGAGUGUAUGCCGAAAAUCUCAUUGAAGGAUGAAUAGGAGAAUGGAAAAAUUAGGAUUAAAAAAAACUAAAAGCACAGAAAGAUCUUCAUUCCAAAAAACAAAAAAACAAAAAAUUC